Molecule: non-coding RNA, 262 nt
Organism: Pelobates cultripes (western spadefoot toad)
Lineage: Eukaryota; Metazoa; Chordata; Amphibia; Anura; Pelobatidae
Source: the annotation of a GenBank genome assembly
CAAAAGGGUAUUAACCACUGCUUCAGAGAGGCCUAAGUGAUGUAGUCUUUCCUUUUUAAGAUUCAUACCCACAAGCUUGAGGUGUUCUGAAUGGGGAUGGGAGAUUGGACCUUGACUCAGCAGAUCUUUCAUUAUUGGGAGAAGCAGAGGUCGUUCCUGACUCAACUUGAUUAAGAGAGGAAACCAUGGCCUCUUGGCCAGACAGGGAUAAUAGCAACGACUUUUUUUGCCUUCUGUCCAAAACCUUUUGCAGAAAUCUGGG